RNAcentral lists this unclassified non-coding RNA (7147 nucleotides) under Leishmania donovani. RNAcentral describes it as "gene:LdHU3.19.0170(CDS-product:hypothetical_prote in_conserved)". Lineage: Eukaryota; Euglenozoa; Kinetoplastea; Trypanosomatida; Trypanosomatidae. The record is from RNAcentral.
CAGAUACAACACUACCCACUGCCCCCUUUCAAAACUACGGAGCUAAGCAGGAAGAGUGCAUCACUUUAGUUCCUCAUAGGCGCAGCCCGCUGAGGGGCUAUUUUUUUCUUUGUUCCCCUCUUUGUUGUGGGAACAGAUAGCACCACGCAGGGCUGCGUAAGUGCCAAUCGCUCGACCACAGAGCGCUGUUCUGUGAGUCGAACGGACACCGUCUAAAGCAACAGAAGGGACAAGGAUCGUAGACAAGCACUCAGGCAGGAGGAGGUCGAGACAAGCAAAAGAAAAUAAGCGCAAGGACUGCUGCAGGGGCACGCAUAUUUUCUCUCUUCUCUCACUCCCGAACCCCUCUGCUGAACACAACACUUGCCACGUGCGAGGAGUGCCUUUCCAUUAUCCACUGCGCUGGCGCACUUGAAUGCAACACACAUUGCGAGGGUGAGCGACGACGCCCUUCGUUCCCUUUUCGUCCUCUCGUUCAGGCGCGCGCGCGGGUGAGCGUGUAAGGAGGUCGGGGGAGGGGCAGAUUGUCUGCGCAUCGGCGGCUGGUACAGUGGCAGAAGCAAAAACGAAAACGUGAAGAGUAGAGAAGCGGCAGCAAAGCGUUGGUGCUGUCUGUCUUCCGCAUUCUCGACGAUUUUCAGGAGGCUUUCGGUGACGUCUAUGCAAGAAGUCUUGCCUCACCGCUAAACGCUACUCACAGACGCCCCACCUCAGCUUCUCUCGUUGUCUCUGCCGUCGCUACACGUCUUUCUGCUGUUGACCUUAACACAGCAACGACAUUCUCAGCAGAGAGAAGCCUUUCACUCAUACGUGCAUCAUUGGCAGUAGCACUGCCGUGCUGCAUCUCCCUCACGCAUAUCUUUUCGCUAUUUCUGUUUGUGCACCUUUUCUUCUUUCACAGUUCCCUCCAGCUACUGCGAUUGAUCUUGUGUGUUUUUUUUUAUCCGCAUUCCACGUUUCGCCAACGUGAAUUGACGCCCCUUCCGCGAGAGACGGCGAGUUGGGGGAGGGCGAGGAGGGAGGCGUACUCCUGCCCGUGAUCUCGAGAACCUUUCGUCUUGUACUGGUGUGCCAACAACCUUCGUUCUCUCUUGUCCUUUUUAUCGCACCUUCUGUCUCCGUUGCUGUGCGGCGCAUCGGGUAAAGCAACGCCGCGUGAACGCGGGAGUCGAGACAGACACGGAAAAAGAGAGUACAGCGCCUAUACCCCGCCCCUUCGGACGCUUAUACCUCCUUAUGUUUUCUUUUCUUUCUUCGCUUUCGCUUGUUGCCUCCGCCCCCUACUGCGGAGAAGCGUCUCCCUCUUCCCGCUUUCCUCUCGUUUUGAGUGUCUGCCAUUAUUUCGAUCCGCUCACGUGCAUCAUGGCCCGACGCGCGCUUGCUGCUCUGCUGGUGGUGCUGUGCUUCCUGCUGGCGAGGAGCGAGGCUGCCCUCACCGCACCGUUUGGCGGCUGCGAAGUCGGCACAUCAGGCUAUGCGAUUCACUCCCCCGGUGAGAACGACAAGGGGGCGCAGUACUUAAUGGACAACGGCAUCGCAUUUGCUAUCCUUCCUGCUACGGUCACCAAUGGCGUUGUCACAUGGGAGAAUGGCGAGGUCGCUGCGUGGAUGCCGCCCGACUUCCAAGCUCCGUCUGACGCCCAUUACUGCCUCAUCUUGCGGAAGAACGGCGCAUGGUCCGUCGUAUCCAUGCCUUUUACGUGGAAUCACCUCUGCAUCGACGGCCGCGAAGACGGGGAAACGACAACGACGACAACUCAAAUGCCGAACACAACGACGACUUCCACCACGACCACAACGCCCGCACCGACGGCCAACCCUCACCUAUCGUCAUCAUCAUUUCAAUCAGAAGGCUCAGCCUCCAGCAGCUUUGCGUCGCCUAUCACGACGACAACUCUGGCUCCUUCUCCGACAACCUCCACCACCGCUGCGCCGCCGCCAUCUGUGCCAACGGUGUCGUCGGUUAUGCAGACAGUGAGGAGCGUUGUCUUCGCUGCAGUGCCGACGGUGAAUGUGAUGGACUUCACCUCGAAUGUGGUCUACCUUCCGGCGACGGCGACCCUUGUGGAGAGCAUGCAAGCACUGCAGGCAGCGAGCAUCGUGAUCGCGGUACGGUUUGGUGCCACAGGCCCCGUGUCCGCUCUUUUGACGGAUGCGACUGCCGCCUCCGUUUCGUUUCAUGUGCCACAUGAACUGUACAACGUCUCUGUGGUGACCUCGCAUGCGCUGUCGCUGGUUACGCUAAACACCGCCGACGUCCUAGUCGUCGGCUCGCAGCUGCGCAUAACACCGGUGCUGAUCGCACUUCAGCAGAUGUCCAUGAGCGUGGUACUGAGCGAUGAGUCCAUCCUAGAAGGCACGGAUAUCCUGGCGACGGUGCGCUUCGCGGGGGCUGGGACGGCGUUGCUGUAUACCACGGACGUCUCCAAAGUCAUCACAUCCACGCUGUCCUUCUCGAUGGUCAACAACGGCGCCGUCGGCAGUCGCUGCAAGCCGUCCACCUCGUCUAUCCCGUAUUUCAUCACCCGCUAUGACGUGCGCUUCCUCGUGCCGGGCAACUAUACGGCGCGAGUGCACGCUGGCCGAAAAAGCGUCUGCGCUACGUACAACGGCAAGAGCGUCGUCGUGGCCCCCUUAGCGAUUCAGGGCAUCGCUGCGACAACUACGGCCGCCAGUUUUCCUGCAGCAACGGCGAUCCCGAUCAGGCUGCAGGGCGGCACGACAACCGGCAUCGCGAGGGGCGCCUACGCAGCUUUCGCGUCAGCGUCGUCGGACUGCACCUCGGAGGGGGCGAAAAUCUCACUGCUUCCAGUGAACUCCUUUAACAGCAGCAGCGAUUCCUCCGCCGUGCCGGGCGCCCUCCUUGUCGCAAGCAGCGAAGUUCCCACUGGCAGCUACGUGUGCAUGCGGCGCACCUCCACCAACACAAAGUUCGCUGUCAGGUAUCACGGCAAGCCGGUCACAGUUGGCGCAGCAUCGAUGCCGCCGGCGGCCGCCGCCACAGCACCUGUGCUAACCAUCUUCAACGGCAGCUGUGGCUCUUUGAACUUACUAGAGUUUGUGCGUCCGCCUGCCAGCGAAGACGACAUAGCCGCCUACUUGUCUGCCGCUUCAAAUGUGUCAGAGGCCUACCGCGUUUUUCGCUUCGUGGCAGUCAAAGCAGGCGCCACCGCGGCGGACAAGGCGGACGCGUGUCGACGCUUCAAGCAGGAGGCAACGCGGGACGCCGCGAAUGGCGCCAUGCAGUUCUCCUUCCCGUUCUACCUGCAGCAGACGAACGGUGUGCUGUGCGCCGACGAAGAGUACGUGCGGAUCGACUACACGGUCAUCCAGCCCACGAACUGGCUGAUGUCUAUGGCUGGCGUCAGCGACUUCGCCUCCCGCAUGUUGGUACUCUCUUCUGGCCCUGAGUACGACGCAGUGCCGCUUUCAGUGCGCAGCAGCCGCCUCGCCUCUGUUGGGUCCGGCACGGCGGUGCGUAUCUCUCAAGACGGCAGCUGCGCUUUCGGCUACACUGCCCGCAUCCAGUCUUACAACACUCAGCAGUACAUCGCCGUUCCGACGGCGUCUGUGGGCGUGUACACGCUUUGCGCCGGGCUGUACAACGAGACCGGCACGUCCAUGUUUGUGUCGACAGGGUCACAGGUGGACCUGGCGUCGUACGUUCGGGGCCGACGCAAGUGGAUGCAUGAAGCAGGAAUCGAGAGGACGGAGUGGACGCCAUGCGGCAGCGCCUCCACGUGUGGCCUUCACACGCAGCAGGCGUACAUCGAGGUGUGCAACGGCGCCGUUCGGCGCAACGUGUGGCCGCAGCGGUUGGAUGGCGCCUUCGUGGGUUCCGACAGUGCCAUGGUGCUCAUGGCCGGCAACCUGUACAAGACGCAGGCGAUUGUGCUGAUGAACGACGUCUACGUUCCGGUUGCGGCUGCCUUUGCACACUGCCAGCAGUUCAGCUUGCUGCAGCUGUCCACCGACGACGGGGCAACGUACGGCCCGGCUGCCGUGGUACUCGGCAAUCACCCCCAGAUCGCGCUGAGCCCCGUCACAGAUGUCUCCGGCGUUAUAGUGGGGUUUGUGCCGUGGAACGCGAUGUGCCGCGGCGUGCACACCGGCGCGGAUGUGAUGGUGGCGCGCACGGCAGCCGGUAUCUCCGUGAUCGACAUAAGCGGGCUGCUGUUUACCAAGAGUGAGGGUUAUUAUGCCGUGUGCGUGCGCAACGGCGUCGCGUGGGCGCGUGUGACGGACACGUACAUCAAGGUUGUCAUUGGUGGCGUCACGGUGUACCAGGCCGAGGCAAUCAACACUGGAGACGCGCUGGCGAACCAGAAGAGCAUUCACCUGUACCAAACGCAGACGGCGACGUGGGGCGUGGCGGGCACCUUUUCUCCCUCCGUGAGCCUCCUCUUGAAGCUGGUCUGGAUGGACUCCACGUGCACGAUGGACGCGGCGUACACGGCAGCCCUUCGCUACAUCUCCCCCAGCAGCGCCCAUGCAACAGUCGAAGCGUCGCUGAUUGCCGCCGCGCCGGCAGGCGUCGCAUCACCGACACUGUACCCCUGCUACACGGCGAACACGUUCGGCAACACGGCAGCACCGAUGCCGUUUGAGGAGCACCGCGGACGCUCCAUCACGGUCACGCAGCUUACCCUCUCUUCGCUCUUCUAUCUCCCGUACCUAGAGCUCUCCGUCUCGGCCCCGGUCGACACACGCAUCCUCCUCACGGAGCCUCAAGAUCCUCCGAUAACGCGGGUUUCCCUGCGAGUGACGAGUAGCCAGAGCGACGUCCCCCAGUGCGGUGCUGCCGCUACGUAUGCGACAGUGCUGACCAUUGAAACAGACGACCUCGGGCGCCGCUGGAUGACGGUGCCGGCAUGGGUGCCGCAGACCUUGGGUGGCAGCGGGGCCACUAACGUGUACUUGAAGAUGUGCGCCACGGCAUCGAGUAGCGCGAACCCGGAGUUCGUCGCUGUGGAAGCAUACUUGGUGCUCAGCGCCAACGCCACCAACCUCGCCGGCAACCCCAUGUCUCUGCGGUUGACGUUUCUGCCACUCAACUCGUCCACGGACCUGCUCGACUACAAGGCUGCGCAGUACGCCCUCGUCAAAUACGCUGCAACGGAGCUCAAGGUGCCGGAGACGGUGGUGCUGGUGGCUUCCCUCGGCAACAACGCUUUUGAGCUCUUCAUCGACGAUGCGCUGCAAACCGGCGCAGCUCCGCAGUCGACGUUGACGCCAACGCAACAGCUCUACCAGACCCUCGCAAAGGGCACCAACUUGCCUCUAUUUUUGAAUGGCCGCGACAACGCCACGGCCUGGUUUGCCCUUGCCAAAGCGGAAGCCGUGCACCUGGUUGACCAAACCUCCGUAGAUGACUACCCAGCGCUCGCUCUGCCCGUGUCGGGGUCUGCAGGCAAGUCCUUCAACUACACCGGCCUGAGCAUCGCGCUCUUCUGCGUCGUCGUCGCGCCUACCACCAUCGGCUUCGUCGCCUUCUCUGUUCAGCAGACCAUCCCGACCCUCUCACACUCGCGCUUCGGCAAAAAGACGGCGGUGUGCGUGGAGACUGGCGACUCGCCACCGCCGCGCAAUCCAUGCUCGCCGAUGGACCUGGAGGCUGAUGGUGGUGCCAAGAAGGAUGAGGCCCGCGACGUCCCUUUAGUCGUGCCGAGAGCGGAGGACACCACCCAGUGCCCGCUCUACGAUUCGGACGACGAGGGGGCGACGCACGAGAUGAAGGACAUGGGCACUUCGCCACCUCUGCGCAACGACACAUUUGCCAUGGCACACCGGAAGGGCGUCUCCUCCCGGUCGUCCGUCGAGGAUGAAGAGAGGAGCUAGAGCCCGCACGGAGGCGUGUGGACGAACACCACGCCGCCACCUCAGCUGUGUGUGGAGAAGUUCUGGCGUUUUUCCUUUUACAGCUUUUCUCGGCCCAUUAUGUGAUGAAUGAUUAAUUUUGCCGAUUAAGCAAUUCACGUUUCACGUGUGUAACUGUGUGUGUGUGUGUGUUUAUAUGUGGCUGUGUGUGUGUGUGCCCGUGACGCUGUCGGUGUCGGCAGCCGUAUGGGCAUCUGUGCGUACGUGCGUGAGUUUGUGCGCGCGACAGCGUGUCGCCCACCUUCUUUCCCCCUCCUUCUCUUAUUUUCCCCCUCAUUUCUCCUUCCCACUUUCUCUUCCUCAUAUUCUUUUGGCUUGCUCGACAUUUUCUGUUUCUGCCGGCUCCUACGAGGCCGCUUUGCUCCUUGCAAAGACGUGCUUAAGCUGUGGAAAGGAAAAUUUGGGGGAGGAGGUUGAUGUCUAGUGAAGCCGUGCACGGACGCUGCGAGCACGUGCGUGUGAAGGGGUUCACGGUUUGCUCGGCGCGUGUGGUGAUGGUGGUGCGACGCUGACGGGUUCGUGCAUAACACAAAACGAGCACCCAAGGCAUAGAAGGCAAAAAAGCGAAUAAGUCGAUCAUGGCCCACCCAAGGCUGCACACCUGAACGGAGAAGAACUGAUGCGAGCAAAGCAACAGAUCUGGCCGCGUGUGCGUAUGUGUCUGUAGGAGUGUCAGCCAGGUGCCCGUGUGACUGCGUGUCUGCUUAGGAAUGCAUAGCAGCCAAACUGGCUUGCGGUAGAGAGGAGGUGGGAGCCCGUUCAAGCAUGAGGAUAAAAGAAAGGAAGCUUGUACACCACCCUUUUCCUCCCUACCUUUGGUACCACUCUCUCUCUUCACCUUCCGCAGCUGCAGCGCUGCACUGAAGGAUGGUGUAGGGUGACGUGCGCUCGACGCGCAUCGCACCUGCUCUUUGCUUAACGCACGGCCGUUGCGUGUGAGUGACACGAUGAGAGGAGGGGUGUCGGUGCUGGGUGCGUCAGAUGGUAUGCAGCGCCUCCAUGCUUCAUUCGUCGCCUCUUUCCUCAUCCUCGGCCCCCUCCCCCCGUUUUGCUCACCAUAUCGCUGAGGUGUGCAUCUCCUGCCUUUCUUGCCCCUGCCCCCUCCCCCCCGCUCACUCACGGUGAUGCGCGACACCUCCCUCAUGUGCGGCCGCGAUUCCCUUUUCAUCACUUCUGACGUUUCCGUCUUGCCACUCUCUUCGCUAUUCUGUGUGACACACGUUCCACAACAUCAAUAUUUUACGCGCGCACGUCGCUGCAUGCUUUGCAG